AGCAGCAGCCGCGGGAAUACGGAGGGUGCAAGCGUUACUCGGAAUCACUGGGCGUAAAGGACGCGUAGGCGGAUUAUCAAGUCUCUUGUGAAAUCUAACGGCUCAACCGUUAAACUGCUUGGGAGACUGAUAAUCUAGAGUAAGGGAGAGGCAGAUGGAAUUCUUGGUGUAGGGGUAAAAUCCGUAGAUAUCAAGAAGAAUACCUAUUGCGAAGGCGAUCUGCUGGAACUUAACUGACGCUAAUGCGUGAAAGCGUGGGGAGCAAACAGGAUUAGAUACCCGCGUAGUCCCUGUCUCUUAUAC
Molecule: ribosomal RNA, 303 nt
Filed under: uncultured bacterium
Lineage: Bacteria
Description: partial 16S ribosomal RNA
Rfam family: Bacterial small subunit ribosomal RNA
Source: RNAcentral